Small nuclear RNA from Oryctolagus cuniculus (rabbit), 162 nucleotides. Its record names the gene U2. It matches the Rfam family "U2 spliceosomal RNA". Rfam says of the family: U2 is a small nuclear RNA (snRNA) component of the spliceosome (involved in pre-mRNA splicing). Complementary binding between U2 snRNA (in an area lying towards the 5' end but 3' to hairpin I) and the branchpoint sequence (BPS) of the intron results the bulging out of an unpaired adenosine, on the BPS, which initiates a nucleophilic attack at the intronic 5' splice site, thus starting the first of two transesterification reactions that mediate splicing. NCBI's taxonomy places the organism in Eukaryota, Metazoa, Chordata, Mammalia, Lagomorpha, Leporidae. The record is from Ensembl.
AUCGCUUCUCAGCCUUUUGGCUAAGAUCAAGUGUAGUAUCUAGUUUUACAUUUGUUUCCUGAGCAUUUUGCGUCUUAUCCAAGAAGUCACUAUCUUGAAAUAUUUCCUCUGCGUUGUCUGUUAUUAAACUCAGGUCGCUGUUGCAUAUUGAGUUGAAUUUUG